GCUCAAAUUUAAAAUCUGGCGGUCUUUUGGCUGUCCGAGUUGUAAUCUAGAGAAGUGUUAUCCGCGCUGGACCGUGUACAAGUUUCCUGGAAUGGAGCAUCAUANAGGGUGAGAAUCCCGUCUUUGACAUGGACUACCAGGGCUUUGUGAUGCGCUCUCAAAGAGUCGAGUUGUUUGGGAAUGCAGCUCAAAAUGGGUGGUAAAUUCCAUCUAAAGCUAAAUAUUGGCGAGAGACCGAUAGCGAACAAGUACCGUGAGGGAAAGAUGAAAAGAACUUUGGAAAGAGAGUUAAACAGUACGUGAAAUUGCUGAAAGGGAAACGCUUGAAGUCAGUCGCGUCAUCCAGGGAUCAACCUUGCUUUUGCUUGGUGCACUUUCUGGUUUGAUGGGUCAGCAUCAAUUUUGACCAUCGGAAAAAGGUCAAGGGAAUGUGGCAUCUUCGGAUGUGUUAUAGCCCUUGGUCACAUACAAUGGUUGGGAUUGAGGAACUCAGCACGCCGCAAGGCCGGGUUUUNNNNNACGUUCGUG
This 528-nucleotide ribosomal RNA is filed under the name cortinarioid sp. C. RNAcentral's name for it is "eukaryotic LSU rRNA". It matches the Rfam family "Eukaryotic large subunit ribosomal RNA", at positions 107 to 623 of the family's 3401-position model. The record is from RNAcentral. Lineage: Eukaryota; Fungi; Basidiomycota; Agaricomycetes; Agaricales; Cortinariaceae.